RNAcentral lists this ribosomal RNA (253 nucleotides) under uncultured bacterium. RNAcentral describes it as "partial 16S ribosomal RNA". It matches the Rfam family "Bacterial small subunit ribosomal RNA", at positions 524 to 776 of the family's 1533-position model. The record is from RNAcentral.
UACGAAGGGGGCUAGCGUUGUUCGGAAUUACUGGGCGUAAAGUGUGCGCAGGCGGCAGAGCAAGUCGAGUGUGAAAGCCCCGGGCUUAACUUGGGAAUUGCGCUCGAAACUACUUUGCUGGAGUGUGGCAGAGGAAGGUGGAAUUCCACGUGUAGCGGUGAAAUGCGUAGAGAUGUGGAGGAACACCAAUGGCGAAGGCAGCCUUCUGGGCCAACACUGACGCUCAUGCACGAAAGCGUGGGGAGCAAACAGG